AGAGUUUGAUCAUGGCUCAGGACUAACGCUGGCGGCGUGCCUAACACAUGCAAGUCGAACGAGGUCCAUCCAGUGGCAACACCGGAGAAGACCUAGUGGCGAACGGGUGAGUAACACGUGAGGAACCUGCCCCGAAGACUGGGAUAACAGCGGGAAACCGCUGCUAAUACCGGAUACCCCCAUCGGACCACAUGGCCUGA
This 200-nucleotide ribosomal RNA is filed under the name uncultured bacterium. RNAcentral's name for it is "partial 16S ribosomal RNA". It matches the Rfam family "Bacterial small subunit ribosomal RNA", at positions 8 to 198 of the family's 1533-position model. The record is from RNAcentral.